AGCUAAUUAAUUUAAAUAAAAUAUUAGUCUUGUAAACUAAAAUUAACUAACAUUAUUAGCUU
RNAcentral lists this transfer RNA (62 nucleotides) under Ceraphronidae sp. ZJUH_2016007. Its description in RNAcentral is "tRNA-Thr". Lineage: Eukaryota; Metazoa; Arthropoda; Insecta; Hymenoptera; Ceraphronidae. The record is from RNAcentral.